AGUGAACGCUGGCGGUAGGCCUAACACAUGCAAGUCGAACGGCAGCACAGUAAGAGCUUGCUCUUACGGGUGGCGAGUGGCGGACGGGUGAGGAAUACAUCGGAAUCUACUUUUUCGGGGGGGAUAACGUAGGGAAACCUACGCUAAUACCGCAUACGACCUACGGGUGAAAGCAGGGGAUCUUCGGACCUUGCGCGAUUGAAUGAGCCGAUGUCGGAUUAGCUAGUUGGCGGGGUAAAGGCCCACCAAGGCGACGAUCCGUAGCUGGUCUGAGAGGAUGAUCAGCCACACUGGAACUGAGACACGGUCCAGACUCCUACGGGAGGCAGCAGUGGGGAAUAUUGGACAAUGGGCGCAAGCCUGAUCCAGCCAUACCGCGUGGGUGAAGAAGGCCUUCGGGUUGUAAAGCCCUUUUGUUGGGAAAGAAAAGCAGCAGGUUAAUACCCCGCUGUUCUGACGGUACCCAAAGAAUAAGCACCGGCUAACUUCGUG
Molecule: ribosomal RNA, 492 nt
Filed under: uncultured bacterium
Lineage: Bacteria
Description: partial 16S ribosomal RNA
Rfam family: Bacterial small subunit ribosomal RNA
Source: RNAcentral